UGCAAGUCGAGCGGACAGAAGGGAGCUUGCUCCCGGAUGUUAGCGGCGGACGGGUGAGUAACACGUGGGUAACCUGCCUGUAAGACUGGGAUAACUCCGGGAAACCGGAGCUAAUACCGGAUAGUUCCUUGAACCGCAUGGUUCAAGGAUGAAAGACGGUUUCGGCUGUCACUUACAGAUGGACCCGCGGCGCAUUAGCUAGUUGGUGAGGUAACGGCUCACCAAGGCGACGAUGCGUAGCCGACCUGAGAGGGUGAUCGGCCACACUGGGACUGAGACACGGCCCAGACUCCUACGGGAGGCAGCAGUAGGGAAUCUUCCGCAAUGGACGAAAGUCUGACGGAGCAACGCCGCGUGAGUGAUGAAGGUUUUCGGAUCGUAAAGCUCUGUUGUUAGGGAAGAACAAGUGCAAGAGUAACUGCUUGCACCUUGACGGUACCUAACCAGAAAGCCACGGCUAACUACGUGCCAGCAGCCGCGGUAAUACGUAGGUGGCAAGCGUUGUCCGGAAUUAUUGGGCGUAAAGGGCUCGCAGGCGGUUUCUUAAGUCUGAUGUGAAAGCCCCCGGCUCAACCGGGGAGGGUCAUUGGAAACUGGGAAACUUGAGUGCAGAAGAGGAGAGUGGAAUUCCACGUGUAGCGGUGAAAUGCGUAGAGAUGUGGAGGAACACCAGUGGCGAAGGCGACUCUCUGGUCUGUAACUGACGCUGAGGAGCGAAAGCGUGGGGAGCGAACAGGAUUAGAUACCCUGGUAGUCCACGCCGUAAACGAUGAGUGCUAAGUGUUAGGGGGUUUCCGCCCCUUAGUGCUGCAGCUAACGCAUUAAGCACUCCGCCUGGGGAGUACGGUCGCAAGACUGAAACUCAAAGGAAUUGACGGGGGCCCGCACAAGCGGUGGAGCAUGUGGUUUAAUUCGAAGC
This 919-nucleotide ribosomal RNA is filed under the name Bacillus aerophilus. Its description in RNAcentral is "bacterial SSU rRNA". It matches the Rfam family "Bacterial small subunit ribosomal RNA", at positions 56 to 957 of the family's 1533-position model. Lineage: Bacteria; Bacillati; Bacillota; Bacilli; Caryophanales; Bacillaceae. The record is from RNAcentral.